UGUGAGGUAAUUGGUGUGUACGACAUACGUGUGGAAUAUCAACGUCUUCCGACUGAUUGUGAAUGCAACCUAAUGAGCGUGCGAUCGAGGGAACAAAGAUAUUGGAUUUUAUCGUUCAAUGGGAUUUCUUAUGUAAGAAGAUAAUCGGUUCUAGAAUUCUCGGAAGGGGUAUAUUAGGAUAUCUAUAUACAACUUUCUUCCGUGGACUACAAAGUUCCCAAUGAUGUUUUCAUCAGGUCUUAAUUGUAAUCUCUCCUUCCCAAGUUGUUUGGGUUAUCCACAAGAUAGUGAAGAGUUGAUUCCGAAAAUGGCACGUGAACCAAUCAUUUUAAAUGUUUAUGAUAUGGUAAGCUACUAUAUUUAUUAUCAUCAUAAAAUAAAAAAGUUUUUAAUCUUUUAACUGCUAUAGGUAUACAGGGUAUCUGCAAAGUCCAACCCCACCACUGGAUCUCGGAAACGGCUGUAAAUAUGGAAAAAU
Harpegnathos saltator (Jerdon's jumping ant) is the source of this 478-nucleotide long non-coding RNA. RefSeq lists it as uncharacterized. NCBI's taxonomy places the organism in Eukaryota, Metazoa, Arthropoda, Insecta, Hymenoptera, Formicidae. The record is from RefSeq and is a predicted model, not a curated record. The transcript is spliced from 3 exons.